This 5398-nucleotide small RNA is filed under the name Pyricularia oryzae. Its description in RNAcentral is "Magnaporthe oryzae sRNA M_BR32_EuGene_00052441". Lineage: Eukaryota; Fungi; Ascomycota; Sordariomycetes; Magnaporthales; Pyriculariaceae. The record is from RNAcentral.
AAAAAAAAUAAUAAGAUAAAAUUAAAAGAAUACAAAAUUUUGACAAAAUAUAAAUUACAGCUAACGAAUCUUUUUAACUUAUACUCUAGUUCUAUUAGCUCGCAUAUUAAAAAUAGAAAUAUAUUAUUGUUUAAAAUUUGGUUAAUUAUUAUAUUUAAAGUACAAAUUGUAUAUUUUUCUAAUUUCUAUUUAAUUUUAUAAAAACGAGUGAAAUCUUUGGUUAAUUACUUAAUAUAUAAUAAUAUCCUCGCUGACGACGAAAAGCGACAAAAUGGAAAAUAUUGGAAAAUUACACCUACUUUUAUAUUAAUACUAAAUAUAAUAUAACUUUAACUAAUAAUACUGUUUUACAUUAAAUAUAUUUGUUAUUCCAAAAUAAAUUGGUGAACAAAAAAUCAAAAAUUCGUUAUAUUUAAUUUUAGCAGUUUUGACACUUUACAAUAAAUUUGAAAGAAUUAAUAAACCACAAAUUAGAAAUUCUUAAAGAAAAGACUGCACGACCCGAAAACGGGUUAUACCAAAACAAAUUAAACAAGUAAAAGGAAAGACGGGGGAUGGAAAUAACCGGCCAAAUAAACUAAAUGUUAGCGGAAUAAUAAAUAACAAAUAAGUUGAUUUACGGAAUAUAAAAAAGUUUAAAAAAACGCAUAAACUUUAAUAAAAUAAAUAUAACCGGAUACCGGAGAAAUUAAUUAAAAACGGGCAGAAUAUUUUUAAAAUAGGGCGUAAUUGAAAGUUAUUGUCUAAUUCCUUUCGCCACCCACAGAAUUAUAAAAAUAACGCAAAAAUAGCGCGUAAAACUGGGAAAUUAUAAUAUCGAAACUUAGAUUUUUACAUCCAACCAACUUAUUUUUACCACAAAGUUUCCCAUUAACAAUUUUAUAUUAUCUUUUUUAAUUAUUCUAUUACAACCCCCAAUAAUAUAUUUAAAAAAGAAUUUCCAAUAAUAACCGCCGGUAUAAUUAUAUAUUUAUAUAAACCCGUGAAACAAAACCGUAAAAAAAACUAAAUAUUAACUAAACGAAACACAUUGGGUAAUAAAUAGCUUUUUUCGGAAUGGAAUUAUUAACGCCGCGGUUUUUUGUUUGCAAACUGGGAUUUGGGCAGACGAUUGAAAUUUUCCAUCGGCGCCAUUUUUACGGUCGAAUAAAUUAGGUAUAUAAGUCUUUUAAAUAGGUCGAACCCCUAUUUCUUAUAAUUAUUUCUAAAUUUGAUAAACAAAACAACUCAAGUAUUUAUAGCCAACAAAUAUAAUUAUAUUUCUCCGCGAUAUUAUUUAGAAAAAGCGUUUGUUUUACGGCGUUUAAUUACACCUAAAACCAGGGUCUUUUACAAAAACUCUAAUUACUUAAAGGGGGGGGGGUUAUUAUAAACCCCAUUAAAAAGGGGGUUAUAAAACCGUAAAUUAUAUAUUAUUUGUAUGGACUUGUAACUUCUUUGGCGAGUAACUUUUCAUAGAAAUUAUUCGUAUUUAAAUACAUUAUAUAUUUUUCAUUUUAAUAUAAAUGGAUUUUUAGUUAUAAUUACCUCCUAUAACUAGUAUAAAAUCUCGAUAAAAUAAUCUUUUGUAAAGUAUAUCCGGAACAUUGGGUGGUAACUAUUAUAAUUAAAUUUAAAGUUAAUAUUUAUAAGAUAUAAGAAAAUAAUACAUUGAAAAGUAUUAAUAUUAAUUUCCGCCGAUUUAUUAUAUAUAAUAUUAAUAAAGUAUUACUAGUUAAAAAGAUUACAAAUUUAUAUAAUUAAUAUAUAACCCAGGGCUUUAUAACCUCCUCUUUGAGGGGGCUUAUAACAAACAGCCCCCAAAUAUUUAAAUGUUUCCGGCUAUUUUAUAAAUCCGUCACCAUUUUAAUAAAGUUUAUUAACUUAAUUACAAAAAUAUUAUAUUUCAUACUAAAAUUUGAAAUGGAAAAUACGUAUAAAUAAUAUAAUUGGUGUUUAUAGUUUGGCUAUUAUAUAGCUGUUAAUUAUAAUAAUUAGCGCAAUUAAAUUUAAUCAAGCAGCAAAAACUAACAUUUUUUAAACUACGUCCCGUUCGUCCGAAGAAAUUAAAAUAUUAAAAACAAAUAUCGACGCAUUACAAAAAUAAACUUCGCCCAUUCGAGGAAUUUCAUUUAAACAGAAAUAUUAAUACGCUACGGUAAUUCCGUUAACAAACGAAAUUAUUAAACGGCCAAAAAUAUAUAUCUGUUAUUAUUUUAUAUAUUAACAAUUAAUUUGUAGAUGGAAAAACGAAAAUCUCGGGCAAAUAUAUACGCGUAAUCUAUUGCGACGAUAUUUAUUACUUAUUAUUAAUAAACGCAAAAAUUUGAAUUUGUAAUAUUUAUUUUUCGAAAUAUCCGGUCCUUUACCAAAUUUAAUAAAAUACUUCGCAUUUCGAAAAUUGUUUAAAAAACGGAUUUUAAUUAUUCCGAACGAAUUGAAAUAUUAUAAGUUUGCGAUAAUAUAUUAACGCUCUAUAUAAACGAAGUGAUAAUAUUAAUACAAGUAAUUAUAAUGCAAAUUAAAACUGGUACUUAAAAGAUUAAUAUUUAAAAUGUAAACGUUAAAACAAAAGUUUAUAUUAAUAAAAUCGGUUAGUAUUUUAUCACGUUUGAUUUAAAACAAAUUAGUCUAGAGAAUAAUAGCGCCGACAUUGCUUUUUCUUUAAAAUAACCGGGAUUAAAUUACAAGAAUAACAAAUAUAUUAAAAAUUGAAAUAUUUAUUAUAAAAAGAUACAUAAUAAAGAUUAUAAUAAUUAUUAUAAUUGUUAUAAUAAAAACUUUACGCCUAAAUCUUAUAAGUUUGGAAUAAUAACCAAAACCCGUUAAUUUCCUUUUUCGCAUAUAAAUUUGCAAAACCCUGGUAAUAUACGGCGAUUUAUUUAAUAUAAAGUAAAUUAUUUCGAUUUCAUUCCAAUAAAAACAGCAUAUUGGGGGUUUUAAACAUUUUAACAUAUAUUAAUUUGAAAGAUCCGUUGUAAUUAUAUUAAAUAAACGCGUUUACAAUUACCGGUUCAAAACUAGUUUUAUUUUCCGAAAGGCUUAUUUUAAUAUUUUGGCAAAAUUGGAAAUAUUUAAUUAUGAAGUUAAUAUUAUUUAAAACUAAUUAGUUCCCCAAUUCGAUUAAAUAAAUAUUUCGAAUAAUAUUUUCAGCGUAAAUUAUGGACUAAAAAUAUAAUUUGUUAUUGGAAAUUGCAAAAAUUGAAUAAAUUUUAUAUUUAAAAACAUUAAUAUUUUAAACCCUUAUUCCGCUCCAUUUACAUCCAAAUUAUCCCUAAAUGGGGCGGAACUAAUGUUUUUUAUAUAUUUGUUUACGAGAAAACCCACGUAGUUUUUUUAAAAUUGCCUUUGUAUUUUUUCCAAAUUUUCAAAAUAAUAAUGAAAUUGGAACCUUUUAGUAAAAACGUUACGAAAAACUAUUGUUGUGGAAAUAAAUAAUUGUGUAAUUCUGUAUAUAUUAACUUCGAAAUUUACACCGCGGCGUGUAAUAAAACCAACCGUAUCUUAGAAAAUAAACGAAAAUAUAAUUUCCGGGGUAAUUAUAAAAAUAACUAAUUUUAAAACGCGAAAAUGCACCAAUUAUUAUUUUUGACCCAUUAACUUGAGUUUUCUUUAACAAACUCUUAAUAUUAUUGUCGAUAUUAAUAUUCCAAACGACGAAAAUUAACCGUGAAUCCCAAAUAUAAACAGCCGAAAAUGUAUUUUUCAACCCAUAUUUUUAAAUCGGAGGAAAAGAAUAAAAGUUACAUUUUAUAUAAAUACGCUGAAAAUAAUUAAGUUUUGAGUUUAUUAGUAGCUAUUAUUGCAAAAAUUAUACCCCCGGUUAAUAUACAAAAUAAAAACAUAUGCGUUACUUUAUAAAUUUUUGGGAAAAGAAUAUUAAAUUCCGUUUCUAAUUAUUUCUUAACAAAAUAUAUUUAGCGAAAAGUAUAAUAUUAGCCAUUUAAUUUAUCUGGUAUUACAAUUUAUAAAAGAUUGGGCUUUCAACCGUCUUUGGGUUAAUAUAACCGUACAGGGACUUUUUAAUUUGAACUAAAUUUAACAAAUCGGAGAAUAUUAUACCAAUUAUUAUAAAAUUAUAUAUUUAUUUAAAGAAUAUUAUCCAAAUCGAAGUUAUUAUUAGCUUGAUUAUUAUUAGAACUACCCGUUUAAAUAAUAGUAUUAAUAACUUUGUUUAUAUAAAGCGGAUUAAACCUUUUCCCGCGCUAUAAAUAUUAUUUCAUUAUUUUGUUUCGCGGAAUAAGAGUAUUAAAUAAAACGUAAUAAUCACGGUACUAGCGGAUCUGGAACUGGAUUUAUCAACCGCAAAUUUUGCUAAUAUUUCAUAGAAUUGCGAUUAAAUUAAAAUAAUAACCGUCCGCGGUACGUCGGUAACGUAUAUUUGGGAGAUAAAAUUGGCAAACACGAAAAUUAAAAUAAAAGAACAUCCACCGGAUAUUUAAAUGGUUUGUUUAUUUUAAAACCGAAAUGGUAUAUAAAAAUAACCGUUAAAUACCCAGUAACUCUACUGGUACUUAUCCUUCUGACAAAUAAACUUAAACCUAAUAAUAAAAUAAAUAAAAACGUUUUAUUAAUUAUACGUUAUUUGCUAAUUAAAAUCGAAAUGUUUAAAAGAGAUAUUAAUGCAAAACAAAAACAGAAUCUGCUGAUAUAACAGGCUUUAUUUAAGAAGAAAUGUUUAAUAUAUUACAGUAUUUCUACUAUUUGGAUAAAAAUAUCAAACGCCUAAGAGAAUGUAAUUACUAUUACCACGUAUAUUAAGAAAUGUUUUACAUUUGGAAAAAGGGUAAUUUCAGGCAAAUGUAUACGCGACGCAAAUAAAGUUUUGGGGUCGGUGCAUAUUUUAAAAUAUAUCCAAAUAAAACAUCCGUCGCCUUUACAUAAGAUAAACGCGUUUCCAAUUAUUACUUUAACACGGUUUUAUUAUUCGAAACGUUUUUUUAAUAUUUUAACUUAUUUUGCAAUAUUUGGUUUUAAAAUUAAAACUUUUUCACAACUAGCAAUUUUACCAAUUCGCGUAAUUUGGCGUUCCGGAUAUUACUCUUGGUUUGAAUCACAAAUUAAAAAAAUAAUCUAUUACAAAGAAUUGCAAAGAUUAAAUAAAUUCCAUGUUUAGGGAAACUAACACUUUAUACCCUAGCUUCUUUUUGUUUGCGUUAGUAUUAUUUUUGAAUAAACCGUAAUUAAUAUUAUUUAUAUUUUCGCCUAUAAAAAAGAGGAAUUAAUUUUGAAGUCGAUUUUAUAUAAGAUAUUAUAUUUUUAAAAUAAUAACCCAAUUGAAAUUUCUUUAUACAAAUAUUAUAAAAAGAGGUUUUUUCGCGGAAAUAAAUAAUUGUGUGUUUUGUAAUAUUAAUCCGGACUUUGUACCGCGGCGUAUAAUAUAAAUACUCGUAUAUUUUAAUAUAAUUAAAAGCAUUUA